UACGAAGGGGGCUAGCGUUGCUCGGAAUUACUGGGCGUAAAGGGCGCGUAGGCGGACAGUUUAGUCAGAGGUGAAAGCCCAGGGCUCAACCCAGGAACUGCCUUUGAAACUGUAAAGCUAGAGUGUCGGAGGGGAUAGCGGAAUUCCUAAUGUAGAGGUGAAAUUCGUAGAUAUUAGGAGGAACACCGGUGGCGAAGGCGGCUAUCUGGACGACAACUGACGCUGAGGCGCGAAAGCACGGGGAUCAAACAGG
This 253-nucleotide ribosomal RNA is filed under the name uncultured bacterium. Its description in RNAcentral is "partial 16S ribosomal RNA". It matches the Rfam family "Bacterial small subunit ribosomal RNA", at positions 524 to 776 of the family's 1533-position model. The record is from RNAcentral.